AAAAAUAUAUUUCAAAUAAUGAAAAUAUAACAACAAAAUUAUUCUUCAUCGUCAUUUUCUUCUCCCAUGUUGUCCGGCGCUGUUUCAAAUGGAACAAGAGAGCACCGUAUGGAUAAUUGAAGUGGUCAAAAUACCCAUGGAUUUCGACACUAAGUCUUCGCACAAUUCUUUGUGUGCUAGACACAAUUUAAUCAAUUUGAUUGAUUGAAAUUGAUGGAGAAACAAGAUGAUCAAAGAAGUUUGAGAUACAUCUCGUUGAGCAUGAGGACGACGAGCUUGAGUUUGGAGGAGGAGGAUUUGGAAUUUGAUCAUAUUAUUGAUUAUACACAAAAGAGGUCUCUUGAAUUUUUCAAUGUUUGGUAUGAGUUUUCUUAAAACCAACAUUGGUAUGAGAUGCUUCGAGUAUUCCUUCGACAUGGUCUAAUAAUCGAUGUCUUGUCCAUCACGAGGAAAAUUUGUGAUGGUUUGAAUAUUUUCUUAAGAAGAAUAGGAAUACUAUUAAUACGAGUAGAAAGGACUCUACUUUCAUCUUUCUUAAGAUUCGAAUAAGAUGCUUGAAUCAAAAGAGAAGGAAUGAAAUCAUACUUCAAAUAAAUAAGGUUAAGAGUCGAACUUUGGAGAAGUACAUUGGAAUGGAAAAAUCCGCGAGAAAUCUAGCGGUUGUGAAUCGAGGUGAAAGAAUGACUCGAUUUUCAAAUAUUUGAACAGUAAACGUUGAAGUUCGAUUUUAUGUUCGAAUCAAAGAGCCG
RNAcentral lists this long non-coding RNA (749 nucleotides) under Nicotiana benthamiana. RNAcentral's name for it is "long non-coding RNA (NBEN_LNC002503)". The record is from RNAcentral. Lineage: Eukaryota; Viridiplantae; Streptophyta; Magnoliopsida; Solanales; Solanaceae.